ACUCCUACGGGAGGCAGCAGUGGGGAAUAUUGGACAAUGGGCGAAAGCCUGAUCCAGCAAUGCCGCGUGUGUGAAGAAGGUCUUCGGAUUGUAAAGCACUUUCGACGGGGACGAUGAUGACGGUACCCGUAGAAGAAGCCCCGGCUAACUUCGUGCCAGCAGCCGCGGUAAUACGAAGGGGGCCAGCGUUGCUYGGAAUAACUGGGCGUAAAGGGUUCGUAGGCGGUGUGGCAAGUCGGGAGUGAAAUCCUGAGGCUUAACUUCAGGACUGCUACCGAAACUGCCAUGCUCGAGUGCGGGAGAGGCGAGUGGAAUUGCAGGUGUAGCGGUGAAAUGCGUAGAUAUCUGCAGGAACACCAGUGGCGAAGGCGGCUCGCUGGACCGCAACUGACGCCGAGGAACGAAAGCUAGGGGAGCAAACAGGAUUAGAUACCCUGGUAGUCCUAGCCCUAAACUAUCAGAACUUGGGGUGAGCCCCUUUCGGGGUUCGUCCCGGAGCUAACGCGUUAAGUUCUGCGCCUGGGGAGUACGGUCGCAAGAUUAAAACUCAAAUGAAUUGACG
This 562-nucleotide ribosomal RNA is filed under the name uncultured Acidobacteriaceae bacterium. RNAcentral describes it as "bacterial SSU rRNA". It matches the Rfam family "Bacterial small subunit ribosomal RNA", at positions 335 to 915 of the family's 1533-position model. The record is from RNAcentral. Lineage: Bacteria; Pseudomonadati; Acidobacteriota; Terriglobia; Terriglobales; Acidobacteriaceae.